Molecule: ribosomal RNA, 490 nt
Filed under: uncultured bacterium
Lineage: Bacteria
Description: partial 16S ribosomal RNA
Rfam family: Bacterial small subunit ribosomal RNA
Source: RNAcentral
AUUGAACGCUGGCGGCAGGCCUAACACAUGCAAGUCGAACGGUAACAGGAAGAAGCUUGCUUCUUUGCUGACGAGUGGCGGACGGGUGAGUAAUGUCUGGGAAACUGCCUGAUGGAGGGGGAUAACUACUGGAAACGGUAGCUAAUACCGCAUAACGUUGCAAGACCAAAAAGGGGGACCUUCGGGCCUCUUGCCAUCGGAUGUGCCCAGAUGGGAUUAGCUAGUAGGUGGGGUAACGGCUCACCUAGGCGACGAUCCCUAGCUGGUCUGAGAGGAUGACCAGCCACACUGGAACUGAGACACGGUCCAGACUCCUACGGGAGGCAGCAGUGGGGAAUAUUGCACAAUGGGCGCAAGCCUGAUGCAGCCAUGCCGCGUGUAUGAAGAAGGCCUUCGGGUUGUAAAGUACUUUCAGCGGGGAGGAAGGGAGUAAAGUUAAUACCUUUGCUCAUUGACGUUACCCGCAGAAGAAGCACCGGCUAACUCCGUG